RNAcentral lists this long non-coding RNA (1491 nucleotides) under Zea mays. RNAcentral describes it as "long non-coding RNA (ZMAY_LNC001256)". Lineage: Eukaryota; Viridiplantae; Streptophyta; Magnoliopsida; Poales; Poaceae. The record is from RNAcentral.
ACGGUGUCACGAACGCGACAUCGAAGGUGAAAUUCUUUUCGCGUUCAACUAAUCCCCCUAUGUCAUUCGAUGAUAAUCCCUUGCUUACUUUGGUAAUGGUUUGGCUACUGCACAUAGACUAUUGUUGCUCUGAAUGUUGCACGGCGUUUUCUUCGAAGAAGACUGGGUUGAUUCGGCUACAGCCUUUAAAUGCAGCUAACCCUUGGUGCUUCUCCAGUAGUCCAGCGCAUGUGCUUCAGUUAUUUGUACAAGAACUUUUUUGUUGGCUGUUGUACUCAUGCCAGUUGUAGAUUGACCAUGCAGAGUAGUGAAUAGCGAGGAUGGCUGAUACUAUAAUUUUCUCGCCAUUUGGUUGCUCAUAGGCUCUCAAGAAUCGAGGAUAUUCUUUUCAGGCAUCAAAUCAUGUCUGUCCUAUGUAGGGAAAGAAGACCUGGGUAAUGCCUUGCUAUGCCCAUAUGAGAUUACGAGCACACUGAAUUUAAGCUUUCUUCUACCUUUGAUCAUGUUCUAACUACUAGCAUGGAGGAAGAAGAUGUACAAUUCAAGCAGGUACUGACCCAUUCCUUUUUCUCUAAACCUGACUUCAGUCAGCAAGUUGGUUAAUUCAGCGCCAAGUUACUAAUAAAAUCCAUUUUUGCUUUGUGGUGACUAUCAUCCCUUGUACGUUUGUUCCUUUGGUCUUGCACGUUUUAGUAUAUACAUAUGUUUUUGUUUUGCUUUUUUUGUCCCAAUUAACAAGAACAAAACAUGUGUUGGCUUUCAGUUCUAUCUUUUUAUAGAUAAAUAUAGAUAAAAGUGUCACAUCGUAUUACCGUAAUUGAAUUCAUUUUUAUAUGCUUCUACCUUUUUUAGCUUAGUAUAAUCAAAGGAUAUGCAACAUAAAGUAGGCCUCAGUUUAAAUUUGAGCUUGAAUUACCUGUAUGAUUCGCAUGUGGAAUAAUGGGUCACCAAUGCACAAGUUUGCUGGUUGACGUCCUGCCCUGUUCUACAACAUGGACUCCUGCCCAGUUCUACAGUAUGGACUCCUUCUAGACCGCCAAUAACCCCGUCCGCACCCAGGCAUCAGCAAGACAACACAACAAUUGGAUGGAAUCUAUGCACUCUUUGCAGCAUUGAGGCUUGCUGUUGUUGAUACAAAAGCAGGUUUUCCACAAUUUCUUGUAUCCAUGUGCCUUUUUUGUAUGCUUACUAGCACAUUUUGCCUUAAAUAUAGUUUGAUGAAUAUGUAGAUGGUGCCAUUCUGAAGGAGGAACUGUGGACAUUGAUUGCUCAAAAUGAACCCUCAUUAAUCUCUUUACAUUUGGUAAUUCUGUUGUUCUGAGUUUUCCACUAAGAAUACUUUAUCAUCCCACAAAAUGACACGAAAGUGCAUGUAUGGAUGUACUUCAGCAUCUCAUCACCUUUUUAUUUAUUAUUUAGAUCUUGAUGAGCUACUUAUGGAAUAUACAUUUAUGUAAACUGUGUUUGGAGAAAUAAUUCUUAGUGGUUACA